Molecule: ribosomal RNA, 420 nt
Filed under: uncultured bacterium
Lineage: Bacteria
Description: bacterial SSU rRNA
Rfam family: Bacterial small subunit ribosomal RNA
Source: RNAcentral
UCUUGCGCAAUGCGCGAAAGCGUGACGCAGCAACGCCGCGUGGGGGAAGAAGGCCUUCGGGUUGUAAACCCCUUUCAGGAGGGACGAAGGUGUGGCGGUUAACAGCCGACCGCACUGACGGUACCUCCACAAGAAGCCCCGGCUAACUACGUUCCAGCAGCCGCGGUAAUACGUAGGGAGCGAGCGUUGUCCGGAUUUAUUGGGCGUAAAGAGCUCGUAGGCGGUUUGGUAAGUCGGGUGUGAAAGCUCCGGGCUCAACUCGGAGAGGUCACUCGAUACUGCCAUGACUGGAGUCCGGUAGGGGGGUGUGGAAUUCCCAGUGUAGCGGUGAAAUGCGCAGAUAUUGGGAGGAACACCAAUGGCGAAGGCAGCACCCUGGGCCGGUACUGACGCUGAGGAGCGAAAGCGUGGGGAGCAAAC